AGAGUUUGAUCAUGGCUCAGAACGAACGCUGGCGGCGUGCUUAACACAUGCAAGUCGCGUGCGCAGUUUCCCUGUANCAAUACAGGGGGAUGGGCGCACGGCGCACGGGUGCGUAACACGUGGGCAAUCUGCCCUCUGAUGGGGAAUAACCCCGCGAAAGCGGGGCUAAUUCCGCAUAACAUUCCCUGGACGAUGGUUUGGGGAUUCAAAGCCGUAAGGCGUCAGAGGAGGANCCCGCGCCCGAUUAGCUAGUUGGUGAGGUAAUGGCUCACCAAGGCAAUGAUCGGUAGCUGGUCUGAGAGGAUGAUCAGCCACACUGGAACUGAAACACGGUCCAGACUCCUACGGGAGGCAGCAGUGGGGAAUCUUGCACAAUGGGCGAAAGCCUGAUGCAGCGACGCCGCGUGGGGGAUGAAGCUUUUCGGAGUGUAAACCCCUUUCGACCGGGAAGAAUGCCUCNCAAGAGGAGUGACGGUACCGGUAUAAGAAGCCCCGGCUAACUACGUGCCAGCAGCCGCGGUAAGACNUAGGGGGCCAGCGUUGUUCGGAAUUACUGGGUGUAAAGGGUUCGUAGGCGGUGUGGCAAGUUGGGAGUGAAAUCUCUGGGCUUAACCCAGANGCUGCUUCCAAAACUGCUGUGCUUGAGUGUGGGAGAGGCGCGUGGAAUUGCAGGUGUAGCGGUGAAAUGCGUANAUAUCUGCAGGAACACCCGUGGCGAAAGCGGCNCGCUGGANCACAACUGACGCUGAGGAACGAAAGCUAGGGGAGCAAACAGGAUUAGAUACCCUGGUAG
RNAcentral lists this ribosomal RNA (793 nucleotides) under uncultured bacterium. RNAcentral's name for it is "bacterial SSU rRNA". It matches the Rfam family "Bacterial small subunit ribosomal RNA", at positions 8 to 793 of the family's 1533-position model. The record is from RNAcentral.